AUUGAACGCUGGCGGCAUGCCUUACACAUGCAAGUCGAACGGCAGCACGGGUGCUUGCCCCUGGUGGCGAGUGGCGAACGGGUGAGUAAUACAUCGGAACAUGUCCUGUAGUGGGGGAUAGCCCGGCGAAAGCCGGAUUAAUACCGCAUACGAUCCACGGAUGAAAGCGGGGGACCUUCGGGCCUCGCGCUAUAGGGUUGGCCGAUGGCUGAUUAGCUAGUUGGUGAGGUAAAGGCCUACCAAGGCGACGAUCAGUAGCUGGUCUGAGAGGACGACCAGCCACACUGGGACUGAGACACGGCCCAGACUCCUACGGGAGGCAGCAGUGGGGAAUUUUGGACAACGGGCGAAAGCCUGAUCCAGCAAUGCCGCGUGUGUGAAGAAGGCCUUCGGGUUGUAAAGCACUUUUGUCCGGAAAGAAAUCCUUGGCUCUAAUACAGUCGGGGGAUGACGGUACCGGAAGAAUAAGCACCGGCUAACUACGUG
Molecule: ribosomal RNA, 486 nt
Filed under: uncultured bacterium
Lineage: Bacteria
Description: partial 16S ribosomal RNA
Rfam family: Bacterial small subunit ribosomal RNA
Source: RNAcentral